AGCAGCCGCGGUAAUUCCAGCUCCAAUAGCGUAUAUUAAAGUUGUUGCAGUUAAAAAGCUCGUAGUUGAAUUUCGGGAUCAAUUUAUCGGUCGUGCCAAUGGUAUGAACUGGUACAAUUGGUUUCUUCCUUCUGAUAAAGCGUGAUGCCAUUAACUUGGUGUCGCCGGGGAAUCAGAACUGUUACUUUGAAAAAUUAGAGUGUUUAAAGCAGGCUUAGGCUUGAAUACAUUAGCAUGGAAUAAUGAAAUAGGACGUUUGAUCCUAUUUUGUUGGUUUCUAGGAUCGACGUAAUGAUUAAUAGGGAUAGUUGGGGGCAUUAGUAUUCAAUUGUCAGAGGUGAAAUUCUUGGAUUUAUUGAAGACUAACUACUGCGAAAGCAUUUGCCAAGGACGUUUUCAUUAAUCAAGAACGAAAGUUAGGGGAUCGAAGACGAUCAGAUACCGUCGUAGUCUUAACCAUAAACUAUGCCGAACUAGGGAUCGGAUGAUGUUAAUUUUUUAAUGUACUCAUUCGG
RNAcentral lists this ribosomal RNA (515 nucleotides) under uncultured Glomus. Its description in RNAcentral is "SSU rRNA". It matches the Rfam family "Eukaryotic small subunit ribosomal RNA", at positions 569 to 1083 of the family's 1831-position model. The record is from RNAcentral. Lineage: Eukaryota; Fungi; Glomeromycota; Glomeromycetes; Glomerales; Glomeraceae.